This 296-nucleotide long non-coding RNA is filed under the name Limulus polyphemus (Atlantic horseshoe crab). RNAcentral describes it as "uncharacterized LOC106474237, transcript variant X2". The record is from RNAcentral. Lineage: Eukaryota; Metazoa; Arthropoda; Merostomata; Xiphosura; Limulidae.
AGGAUCAAUAAGAUCGUAUGUAACUGACAGAGAAUAACCAGUAAUUCAGUAAGAGAAAAUCUUUGAUUAAUAAUAAUUUUUAUGUAAACCGAUAUUCCUCAAUUGAGUAUUUCAAGCUCAGGAUGCCGACAAAGAUGACGCUGAGGAAGGAGAUCGAGGCCACUGUUUGUUCUACAUGCAACCAUGUCGUUGUUGUCGUGGUCUUACCUGUCGCAGAGGGAGAUGUGUACGUAUAAACGGAUAAUAUAUUAUGAAAGAGAUGAAUUUCUUCAGGUAAAGCGAGGAAAACACAUAUU